GUUGUUGUUUUCAUUUUUUACAGUUACGGCUGGAUCACCUUCCAACUGUACUGACGCUACAUUUAUUGAUUGUCAGGAUACACAUGUCUGCAGCCAUACAGAUCUCAAGAAGUACUGUCCUCUCACCUGUGGUAUAUGCAGUAAGUUGUUACCCGCAUCCGUGGUUACCAUUUAUAGAACCAAAGAUUUAAAUAAUGAUAGAAUACUAUACAUGUAGGUCAGUGUAUCCCAAACUCUGUCUGACCGACAAACUGUCAGUCAAAAAAUCAUUCGGACAGACAGCAAUUUUCAGUAUAAAAGUGCAAAUUUCUCUUUCGGUCAGACAAACACUAAAAACGUUUGGCACAGACUGGUAUGUAUUUGCAUACUUAUUAAAUAUCAUUUCUUAAUAUUUUACAUAAUAUAAAAUAGUACUAUAUAUAUAUAUAUAUAAAUAAGGGUUUAAAUACGUUCACAAGGGUCCUAAUAAUUUACUAUCGUGUGGAGCUCUUUUGUGUGUUCUCCUUCUAUUUUCUAAUAGUUCGCAAAUGGUUCGCUUAUGCUAUUAAAUAUCUAGCUCGUGGCACAAACACGUCUUUAUAUAAAUCUUGAAAUGAAAUAGAUGCAACUACUUUAUGUCUCUCAGUUUAUAUUAGUGUUUCAUCAUAUUUUCUUUUUGAAUCAACACUAACGUCGUUAUGGCUUACUAUUUGCCUACAUUAUUCUGUUUGUAUUUGUUGUAAAUCAAAAUCUUCGGGGAACAAAUAAACAAAUCGCAUAAACUAAUUGUUUUUGUUUCUUUUGAAUUUGACCUUUAAACAAUGAAUCAGUACUUUACUUUCUUUUGUUUUAGAACCCUGUCAAGACGAAAGUGUGUUUAACUGUAAUCAGAAUGUGUGUUCUUUUCCCACGCUAAAGAAAUUCUGCCCUGUAACUUGUAAUUCUUGCAGUGAUGCCACACAUAACAUGCAUAAUACAAGUAUGUUAUUUAGUUUUACAUAAGUGUGGGUUAUAUUAUAAGUAUCAUUUCAAAAGAAUUCUAGAUAUUAUAUUACUUAUGUUUAACACGAUUACAACCAAGGCCGUGUUCACAUUGACCUAAACUCGGUGCUGUGUUAGUGUAACUCCCACAUAAACUAAACAUAAUUACGUUCCCAUUAGUAAAACUCAAUGUUUACAUUUACAUUCCUAUGCAGUCUUAAAAGGGGUGGUUGGGUGGGAAACGAAACUUUACUGUCGGAUAGGCGAACCUCGAAUGACAAUUCUAGACUAUAAUACUAUAAUUUUAGCGCUAAAAUUCAAGCAUGAAGUUAUCAUGAUUGAUAUAACUUAAACCGGUAAUAACUUACUGCUUGUCCAUUCAAAUUAAACAUAAACAUGUUUUGAUUUGAACACACGUGCUAAAAGUAAACAAAUACACAUGUUCCCGAGUAACCUUUAUACAUACAUACACAAUGUAUCAUCGUAUGGUCUCCUAUACUAACAUAUUUGACUGAUUGAAUGGUCGAUGGUUUCAAUGUCAUCGUCAGCUCUCAUAACUGUAUAACGUGGUGAAUAAAAUUGAAAAAUAUUUGUUAUUUAUGCUUCAUUUCUUUUAAAUUCUGUUUGAUGCAGCACAGAUAAAUAGUUGUUUUUACAAGGGAAAGACUUAUCAGGAAGGUGAACACUUUACUGAUGGUUGUGAUUACAAAUGCGUCUGUGAAGAUGGACCUACUGGACGUUACGUAUGCCAUUCAAUGUAAGGUUACAGCUGUUUUAUAACUUAAUGUGCAUGUUCGGUUAUUGAUAGAAAUGUUUUUAAAUAAAGAGAUGUGACAUGAUUGCCAAUUAUUAUUCAGUCUGUAUGUAGAAAUACUGAAAAUUUUAUCUAUGUAGCAAUGAUCUUCAAUUAGCAAUGAAGGAGCAACAAUAUUAACCAUGAAUUUUGAAAACCCUGACGUCUCGUAUAUGAUUUGUCUCAAUGUCGUUUUGUUUACAUACAUGUAGUUCAAUCUACAAAAUGACGCCAUUUCACUGUGAUACAUUAUUUUGGCCAAAUUUUAUUUGAAAUUAAUUGAGUGAUUCAUUUAACUUAAAAUUAAUGAAAAGUGAAGUGAUGAAAUCUACUAUAUAUAUAUAGGCGUCUCUAUUUUACUUAUGAUGAACAUAUCCCAUUGGUACCUUUCGCUCCUCUUAUACAGGUAAAAAUACUUGUCGGACAGACAUAUGAGAAAUACAAAAUUGCGUGAUUGUUAUACCAACAACAAAAUUAUAACAUAUGAUACUUACAAUUCAGGAUAGUCUAUUUUGAAGUUUAAUGACAAGUUGAGUGUAUUGACCACCAGAUUCACUUCUAAACCCAUCCCUUUUUAAAGUUACAACUUUUAACAGGUCUAGGCAGGCUUUAAUCGUCGUGAGUAUUCCUGAAAUACAAAAUGUAUAUUGCAUGAUUGUAUGAUGUUACAUGUUGUCAAUUUUGUUACAGGUGUACCCAGUGGAACCUACCAAGGAUUUGUACAUUAAAUCCUCCAGCUCCUGGGAAGUGUUGUAAGACACCAAGUUGUCCGUCACACAUGACAAUAAGCUACCCGCCAGGGUAUAUAGAGCAGUAAUCAAAUGUA
This 2579-nucleotide long non-coding RNA is filed under the name Mytilus galloprovincialis (Mediterranean mussel). The record is from RNAcentral. Lineage: Eukaryota; Metazoa; Mollusca; Bivalvia; Mytilida; Mytilidae.